RNAcentral lists this ribosomal RNA (461 nucleotides) under uncultured bacterium. RNAcentral describes it as "bacterial SSU rRNA". It matches the Rfam family "Bacterial small subunit ribosomal RNA", at positions 30 to 518 of the family's 1533-position model. The record is from RNAcentral.
UGAACGCUGGCGGCGUGCCUAACACAUGCAAGUCGAGCGAUUACUUCGGUAAAGAGCGGCGGACGGGUGAGUAACGCGUGGGUAACCUGCCUCAUACACAUGGAUAACAUACCGAAAGGCAUGCUAAUACAGGAUAAUAUAAGAGAUUCACAUGGAUUUCUUAUCAAAGCUCCGGCGGUAUGAGAUGGACCCGCGUCUGAUUAGCUAGUUGGUAAGGUAAUGGCUUACCAAGGCGACGAUCAGUAGCCGACCUGAGAGGGUGAUCGGCCACAUUGGAACUGAGACACGGUCCAAACUCCUACGGGAGGCAGCAGUGGGGAAUAUUGCACAAUGGGCGAAAGCCUGAUGCCAGCAACGCCGCGUGAGUGAUGAAGGCCUUCGGGUCGUAAAACUCUGUCCUCAAGGAAGAUAAUGACGGUACUUGAGGAGGAAGCCCCGGCUAACUACGUGCCAGCAGCCGC